GUCGGGUGCAGUGGCGCGCGCCUGUAAUCCAAGCUGCUGGGAGACUGAGGCUGGCGGAUCGCUUGAGUUCAGGGGUUCUGGGCUGCAGUGGACUAUGUUGAUCAGGUGUCCACACUAAGUUCGGUAUCGAUAUGGUGCUCCUGGGGGAGCUCGGGACCACCAGGUCGUCUAACGAGGGGUGAACCGGCCCAGGUCGGAGACGGAGCAGGUCAAAGCCCCCGUGUCGAUCAGUAGUGGGAUCGCUCCUGUGAAUAGACACUGCAGCGCAGCCUGAGCGAUACAGAGAGACCCAGACUUUU
Molecule: signal recognition particle RNA, 299 nt
Filed under: Carassius auratus (goldfish)
Lineage: Eukaryota; Metazoa; Chordata; Actinopteri; Cypriniformes; Cyprinidae
Description: Metazoan signal recognition particle RNA (ENSCARG00000032061.1)
Rfam family: Metazoan signal recognition particle RNA
About the family: The signal recognition particle (SRP) is a universally conserved ribonucleoprotein. It is involved in the co-translational targeting of proteins to membranes. The eukaryotic SRP consists of a 300-nucleotide 7S RNA and six proteins: SRPs 72, 68, 54, 19, 14, and 9.
Source: Rfam by way of RNAcentral